Molecule: ribosomal RNA, 427 nt
Filed under: Staphylococcus sp. A35-2
Lineage: Bacteria; Bacillati; Bacillota; Bacilli; Caryophanales; Staphylococcaceae
Description: bacterial SSU rRNA
Rfam family: Bacterial small subunit ribosomal RNA
Source: RNAcentral
CUCCCUCUAGAGAUCAGAGUUUUCCCCUUCGGGGGACAGAGUUGACAGGUGGUGCAUGGUUGUCGUCAGCUCGUGUCGUGAGAUGUUGGGUUAAGUCCCGCAACGAGCGCAACCCUUAAGCUUAGUUGCCAUCAUUAAGUUGGGCACUCUAAGUUGACUGCCGGUGACAAACCGGAGGAAGGUGGGGAUGACGUCAAAUCAUCAUGCCCCUUAUGAUUUGGGCUACACACGUGCUACAAUGGACAAUACAAAGGGUAGCGAAACCGCGAGGUCAAGCAAAUCCCAUAAAGUUGUUCUCAGUUCGGAUUGUAGUCUGCAACUCGACUAUAUGAAGCUGGAAUCGCUAGUAAUCGUAGAUCAGCAUGCUACGGUGAAUACGUUCCCGGGUCUUGUACACACCGCCCGUCACACCACGAGAGUUUGUAAC